UAGUCAAAAUGUUUGGUACCCCCUUAACAGUUUUUUUUUGUUUUGUUUUUUGGAAAGAAUAAACUUGUCAUUUGUAUGUAUCAAAAUUUUACCCUGAGCAUUGGAAAAAUUGCAUAAGAAAUGAUCAUCAUUUCAAAGAAAUAAUAUUGAGAUAGAAAUGGUGAAUGUGUCAUAGUGAUAACAACCAAAACAAAUGACAAAACAGCCCAAGAUCAUCAAUGGGUCUUCAACAAAGCGAGAAAAUUCCUCACCAGGAGGAGAGCUUCAGCUGGCUCCUAAAUAAAAUUUAGUGAAAAUGGACAUCACACUAAACUCCAAACAUAUAAAUGAACUUCAAUUAAAACGUACUAGAUUAACACAGGCAAGAGGCUUCUGACUUUUUUCUGCUUAGAUGGGAAUAUGAUUGGUUUGGUUGUUCUCUAUAUAAAAAAAAUUUGCUGAUGCAAGUUUUAAGAUAUGUGCCAUGUUGAUUCAGGUCUCAAGGGAUGUGCAUUAAUUUAGUGCUUAUACCUAUGUAUUGUCAGAGGGAAUAUGUUUUUUACAAGAUUUUUAUUAAUGUAUAUGAAAAAUAUGACUCAGAAUGACAAUUAUAUUUUUAAAAUU
RNAcentral lists this long non-coding RNA (603 nucleotides) under Mytilus galloprovincialis (Mediterranean mussel). The record is from RNAcentral. Lineage: Eukaryota; Metazoa; Mollusca; Bivalvia; Mytilida; Mytilidae.